GGAUUGCUAAACAAAAUACCUCAAGGCUUAAGAUUUGAAUUUCGUUGAGGAAUUGUGUUUGAAUUCGAUUGGGUAGUCAUGAUUUUGGUUGGAAACAUCAUUGUGAAGCUCCAUAUGAAGAUUUGAGAACGAUUUGAGCUGAAUUUCUAGGGUUUGUGUUCAGAAAAAUUCGAACCAUUUUGACGAAGAAGAAGACCUAGGGUUGUCGAUUUCUUGAGCAUUGAACUAAAUAAGUUACUGGGAUUUGUUCGAGCUGCUAUUGGGAAGCCGUAUUCUAGAUUUGAGCUCGUUUUGCGAAGGUUUGGUUAGGUUUCGAUUGAGUCAGUUGAAGCUGUUUUGCGAAGAAGAAAACCACUAGGGUCUUUCGAUUGAGGAAUUGUUCGCACAAAUUAAACAUUGGGGAUUGAUCUUAGAGUGGUUUGGAGGCAGCAUCCAAAGUUUUAUUGCAUCUGCUGAAGGAUUGAUCAAGAAUCGAAUUCUCUGCCAUUGAAGCUCGAAGAACUUGGGCGAACAGCUGCGAUUUCUGGAAUUGAGUUUUUGAUUGUAUUGCAUAGACUACACAACGUCUCUACGCAUCGACGCAUAGCUGACUCCAGCAAUUCAUCGUUGAAGAAUUGCACAGGUUUGAUUUCUGAGUAUUAAGCUAAGCUCGACUUCUGAAAAAUUGAAGAUUGAAAUUCAUCUUUAGCUCUUUGGAAUUGAUUGAGUUUGAGUUCAUAAGUCGACUCGAGCUUCUUGUUGAUUUGUUAUUGAGUGAAUUUGUGAGCGCCACCGGAGGUUGCUGUUGAAUUGUGAACUAGAUAACUGUUUAGAGCUUGUUGUGAGACGCUGAAGUUUUUUCCCUGUGUUUUGAAGUUGAAUUCUGCUUCUAUGAGUUUGACUACUAUUUGGUGCGACUGUUUGUCCUUUCCGAAUCUUGAGAGCUGCUGCACUAUUUAGAAAUUCUCUGCACUAUGUUGCUUGCUGCUGUAACUAAAGUUUGAGAUAGGUAGCAGCUUAUAAUCUGAUUGGGGAUAGCUAUUCAAACUGAUUAAAGAAAAACAACUACAGCUGGGGUGAACUGAAAAUUUCGAAGUGAGGUUUGAAAAACAGCUGUUGUAAGUAUUGGAAUUCUGGUUUCAUACCUGUUAUGCACUUCUGAGUUUAUUUUUGUUAAGUUGACUGUGGGAUUCAAUUUCUAAUCCUUGUAGUAAAUCUAUCUCAGUUUCUGCUGCUAAGGAUUGAGUUUGCUGCUGAAGUUCUUUUUUGGUUUAUGAGUUUUGAGUUGAAGGUUGUCGAUUAAGCAUAUACUGAAAAUAACCUCUGGUUGUUCUGAGUGUAGUUAUGGUUUUAAUAUUCUGCCGAGUGUUGGGUAAGUGUAUUGCUGACAUUGCAGCUUUAGAUAGCAUUUUGAGUUCGGAAAUUAGAGGCUUUGAGCUGAAGUGUUGGGCUACAGUUUAAGCGACAAAUAUGCACUGUUGAGCUCCAGUUAAGCUGCAAACAUGCAGCACCUUAUUCAGUUAAGUUCCAACUGCAUUUUUUGCACAGCUGUGCCUUGAAAUAAGUCUUCUGAUAGUUGUCCAUGAGAAUAGUUAAUGUGACUAAUCAGUUGAGUUUUAGAA
Non-coding RNA from Nicotiana tabacum (common tobacco), 1601 nucleotides. Lineage: Eukaryota; Viridiplantae; Streptophyta; Magnoliopsida; Solanales; Solanaceae. The record is from RefSeq and is a predicted model, not a curated record.